CAGAACAUAGCAGUGGUCUCCAGACCUUGGACUGGACCCUUUAGCCUCAAGUGUGCAGAUGCCUUCUGCACGCUUCUUCAUCUGACUCUGUGGCUGAACA
Molecule: long non-coding RNA, 100 nt
Organism: Octodon degus (degu)
Lineage: Eukaryota; Metazoa; Chordata; Mammalia; Rodentia; Octodontidae
Exons: 3
Source: RefSeq, a predicted model, not a curated record